Molecule: ribosomal RNA, 1415 nt
Filed under: Acinetobacter baumannii
Lineage: Bacteria; Pseudomonadati; Pseudomonadota; Gammaproteobacteria; Moraxellales; Moraxellaceae
Description: partial 23S ribosomal RNA
Rfam family: Bacterial large subunit ribosomal RNA
Source: RNAcentral
UCAAGUAAUUAAGUGCAUGUGGUGGAUGCCUUGGCAGUCAGAGGCGAUGAAAGACGUGAUAGCCUGCGAAAAGCUCCGGGGAGGCGGCAAAUAUCCUUUGAUCCGGAGAUGUCUGAAUGGGGGAACCCACCUACUUUAAGGUAGGUAUUGCAACAUGAAUACAUAGUGUUGCAAGGCGAACGAGGGGAAGUGAAACAUCUCAGUACCCUUAGGAAAAGAAAUCAAUUGAGAUUCCCUCAGUAGCGGCGAGCGAACGGGGAUCAGCCCAUUAAGUUAUGUGUGUUUUAGUGGAACGCUCUGGGAAGUGCGAACGUAGAGGGUGAUAUUCCCGUACACGAAAGGGCACACAUAAUGAUGACGAGUAGGGCGAGGCACGUGAAACCUUGUCUGAAUAUGGGGGGACCAUCCUCCAAGGCUAAAUACUCCUGACUGACCGAUAGUGAACCAGUACCGUGAGGGAAAGGCGAAAAGAACCCCUGUGAGGGGAGUGAAAUAGAUCCUGAAACCGCAUGCAUACAAGCAGUGGGAGCACCUUCGUGGUGUGACUGCGUACCUUUUGUAUAAUGGGUCAGCGACUUAUAUUCAGUAGCGAGGUUAACCGUAUAGGGGAGCCGUAGAGAAAUCGAGUCUUAAUAGGGCGUUUAGUUGCUGGGUAUAGACCCGAAACCAGGCGAUCUAUCCAUGAGCAGGUUGAAGGUUGGGUAACACUAACUGGAGGACCGAACCCACUGUCGUUGAAAAGCCAGGGGAUGACUUGUGGAUAGGGGUGAAAGGCUAAUCAAGCCUGGUGAUAGCUGGUUCUCCCCGAAAGCUAUUUAGGUAGCGCCUCGGACGAAUACCAUAGGGGGUAGAGCACUGUUUCGGCUAGGGGGUCAUCCCGACUUACCAAACCGAUGCAAACUCCGAAUACCUAUGAGUACUAUCCGGGAGACAGACUGCGGGUGCUAACGUCCGUAGUCAAGAGGAAAACAAUCCAGACCGCCAGCUAAGGCCCCAAAAUCAUAGUUAAGUGGGAAACGAUGUGGGAAGGCAUAGACAGCUAGGAGGUUGGCUUAGAAGCAGCCACCCUUUAAAGAAAGCGUAAUAGCUCACUAGUCGAGUCGGCCUGCGCGGAAGAUGUAACGGGGCUAAAACUAUGUGCCGAAGCUGCGGAUGUAUACUUUGUAUACGUGGUAGGGGAGCGUUCUGUAAGCCGAUGAAGGUGUGUUGAGAAGCAUGCUGGAGGUAUCAGAAGUGCGAAUGCUGACGUGAGUAACGACAAAACGGGUGAAAAACCCGUUCGCCGAAAGACCAAGGGUUCCAGUCCAACGUUAAUCGGGGCUGGGUGAGUCGACCCCUAAGGCGAGGCCGAAAGGCGUAGUCGAUGGGAAAAUGGUUAAUAUUCCAUUACUUCUGUGUAAUGCGAUGAGAGGACG